This 117-nucleotide ribosomal RNA is filed under the name Danio rerio (zebrafish). Lineage: Eukaryota; Metazoa; Chordata; Actinopteri; Cypriniformes; Danionidae. The record is from RNAcentral.
UUGCCUGCAGCUAGCUCUCUGCAACUCUCACAUGGUUUCCCACCGAAACUAAGGAGGGCUGCGCCCAGUCAGUACCUGGAUGGGAAACCACAUGGGAAAGCGAUGUCUGCCGGAAGU